AAGUUCAAAGACAUUUUUCAAUUGCGUCGUCUCGUCUCCUAUAUAUUCAUAAUUCACUUUCCUGGAAAAUUAAUAUGAGAAGCUUUCAAGAACAAACAAAAAUGAGAAGCAUGAGACUGUUUUCUUUGCUUGCUUUCCAUGCUCUCAUGCUACUCGAAGCACAUGCUUUUACCGAUACAACUGAUAGGCAAGCGUUGCUCGAGUUCAAGUUUCAAGUUUCUGAAGACAAAAUAGCUUUCAUGUCCUCAUGGAAUCACUCAUUCCCACUCUGCAAGUGGACUGGGGUUACUUGUGGCCGCAAGCACAAGAGAGUUACUAGUUUGGAUCUUGUAGGAUUGCAUUUGGGCGGAGUGAUAUCACCAUCUAUUGGUAAUCUUUCGUUUCUCAUAUAUCUUGAUCUAUCUAAAAAAUCUUUUGGUGGAACCAUCCCUCAAGAGAUUGGAAAUUUGUUUAGACUUGAAUACUUGUACUUGAACUCUAAUAUUCUGGGAGGAGGGAUUCCAAGUAGUCUGGGUAACUGCUCUAGAUUGUCGGAUCUUCAAUUAUUUUCAAAUAAUCUUGGACAAAGUUUUCCUUCAGAACUAGGGUCAUUGACGAAGCUUGUUAGUUUAAGUCUUCGUCAAAACAAUCUAAAAGGGAAGCUUCCUGCAUCUCUAGGAAACUUGACAUCACUCAAGCAAGUUAGCUUUACAUAUAACUAUUUAGAAGGAGAAAUUCCGAAUGAGGUGGCUAAAUUGACUCAAAUAGUGAUUCUUCACUUAGGAGGGAAUAAAUUCUCAGGCGUUUUUCCUCCUGCUAUUUACAAUUUGUCCUCACUUCAUAAUUUAUCUAUUUUUUAUAAUCAUUUCUCGGGUCGCCUGAGACAUGAUUUUGGUAGUCUGUUACCAAAUCUUCUAUCGUUAAAUAUGGGAGGGAAUUAUCUGACAGGAACCAUUCCAACAACGCUUUCUAAUAUCUCGACUCUUGAAAGAUUGGGAAUGAAUGAAAACAAUAUGACAGGAAGUAUUCCUACUUUUGGAAAAAGUAAAAAAUUUGCAAUGGCUAUUACUCCAUACAAAUUCUUUGGGAAGUUACUCUUUCGGAGAUCUUGAAUUCAUCAGCUCUUUGACUAACUGCACCCAACUAGAGUUGUUAAGUAUUGGUCGAAAUAGGUUUGGGGGUGAUUUGCCUAUUUCCAUUGCCAAUUUCUCGGCGAAUCUCGUAACUUUAGAUCUUCAAGAAAACCUUAUUUCUGGAAGAAUUCCUCAUGACAUUGGGAAUCUCAUAAGCCUACAAACACUUAUGUUGGGAGAUAAUAUAUUGACGGGACCACUCCCAACCUCUACCGGCAAUCUUUUUGGACUUGUUAUUUUACAACUCAAUUCAAACCAAAUGUCAGGAGAGAUACUAUCUGCUAUAGGCAACCUCACUCGGCUAGAAGAACCCCAUUUGUACAACAAUAGUUUUGAAGUCUCAGUAAUUGCAGUUACCUCCUCCAAUUACAAAUCGGGUAUAAUAACUUGAAUGGGACUAUACCUCAUGAGAUUAUGAAAAUCCCUACCCUUGUUCAACUAAGUAUGGAAGGUAAUUCUUUGAGCGGCUCUCUGCCAGACGAUGUUGGAAGACUACAAAAUCUUGUUAAACUAUCACUUAAUAACUUAUCAGGACAACUCCCACAAAUUUUGGGAAAAUGUCUCUCGAUGGAAGUUAUGUAUUUACAAGGAAAUUAUUUUUAUGGAGCAAUUCCAGAUAUAAGUGGGUUGAUGGGUGUUAAAAGAAUUGAUUUUUCAAACAAUAAUCACUCUGGAACUAUACCUGGAUAUUUUGCAAACUUUUCCUCGUUGGAGUAUCUCAAUUUAUCCACUAACAAAUUUGAGGGAAAGGUUCCUUUAGACAGAAAAUUUCAGAAUUCUACCGUGAUUUUUCUAUUUGGAAACAAAAAUCUAUGUGGAGGCAUCAAGGAACUAGAAUUAAAGCCAUGCGUUGGGCAGGCAAAAAGCAUCCAUCUCUUUUAAGAUAAGUUGGAUGUUUUUUUAAAAGAGGUGGAUGCUUUUUUUCCAUUGGUGGCCAACGCAUGGAUUAUUGGCCUGCUGGUUCUUCUUUUUUUUUCUAAACCAACAUAGAGAAACUAUGAACAAUAGGAAAAGCAAAGAUAUGCCUAAACCACCUCUUUUAAGAAAGAAGAACCAGCAGGCCAAUAAUCCAGCUCCUUCCACAUUGGAUAUUUUCCAUGAGAAAAUAAGUUAUGGAGAUCUUCGAAAUGCGACUGAUGGCUUCUCCUCAAGCAAUAUAGUUGGGUCAGGCAGUUUUGGUACUGUGUUUAAGGCAUUGCUCUCGACAGAUGUCACGAUUGUUGCAGUGAAAGUUCUUAACAUGGAGAGACAUGGAGCGAUGAAGAGCUUUAUGGCAGAAUGUGAAUCUUUGAAGGACAUAAGGCAUCGUAAUCUUGUGAAACUACUGUCAGCUUGCGCUAGUAUUGAUUUCCAAGGUAAUGAAUUCAGGGCUCUCAUUUAUGAGUUCAUGCCGAAUGGAAGCUUGGAUAUGUGGUUGCACCGAGAGGAAGUAGAAGAGGUUCAUAGCCCCUCAAGAACCUUGACACUUAUUGAAAGGCUCAACAUUGCUGUAGACGUGGCUUCUGUUUUGGACUAUCUUCAUGUUCAUUGUCAUGAGCCUAUAGCACAUUGUGAUCUUAAGCCGAGCAACAUCCUUCUAGAUGAUGAUCUAACUGCCCAUGUUAGUGACUUUGGUCUGGCUCGUCUUCUCCUCAAAUUCGACCAAGAGUCCUUCUUCAACCAACUAAGCUCAGCUGGAGUUAGAGGAACCAUUGGCUAUGCCGCACCAGAAUAUGGAAUGGGAGGGCAGCCGUCAAUACAUGGUGAUGUUUUAUAGCUUUGGGGUUCUCCUUUUGGAAAUGUUCACUGGAAAAAGACCGACCAAUGAGUUAUUUGGGGGAAACUUUACCCUAUACAACUACACCAAGUUGGCGUUGCCAGAAAAAGUAUUGGACAUUGCAGAUAAAUCGAUUCUUCACAGUGGUCUGAGAGUCGGUUUCCCUGUUGUUGAGUGCUUGACAUUGCUUUUCGAGGUGGGACUUAGGUGUUGUGAGGAAUCUCCAAUGAACCGUCUAGCAGCGAGUGAAGCAGCAAAGGAGCUAAUCUCAGUUAGAGAGAGGUUCUUCAAAACCAAAAGAACAACCAGACGUUGAAGUGUUAAUCAUCUACAAAAUUGCCCACCCACUUAAAAAGCCUUAAUCUGAGGCCUAUAUAUAAUAUCAUAUUGUCUUUCAUAGUCUGUGGUUUGUCUAUUUCCUCUGUUUAUGCUCUGUUUUGUUUCCAGACAAGAUUGAAUG
Non-coding RNA from Camelina sativa (false flax), 3328 nucleotides. The record is from RefSeq and is a predicted model, not a curated record. NCBI's taxonomy places the organism in Eukaryota, Viridiplantae, Streptophyta, Magnoliopsida, Brassicales, Brassicaceae.